Molecule: ribosomal RNA, 452 nt
Filed under: Blastocystis sp.
Lineage: Eukaryota; Bigyra; Opalinata; Blastocystidae
Description: SSU rRNA
Rfam family: Eukaryotic small subunit ribosomal RNA
Source: RNAcentral
AAAUCACAAUGCGGAACAAUGUUUUGCAAUUGGAUUGAGAACAACGUACAAACCUUAUCGAUAAACAAUUGGAGGGCAAGUCUGGUGCCAGCAGCCGCGGUAAUUCCAGCUCCAAUAGCGUAUAUUAACGUUGUUGCAGUUAAAAAGCUCGUAGUUGAAGUGAAGAGUGGUGAUUGUUGUACUACAUUCGUGUAGUUUCAUGAAUCAACACUCUCCCUCUAAAUCCUGUAUAUGAGUAUUAAUUUACUUGUAUACGUAUUUAGACAUUUACUGUGAGAAAAUUAGAGUGUUCAAAGCAGGCAUUUGCUUGAAUAUAUUAGCAUGGAAUAAUCAUGUAUGAUUUUCAUGAAGUAUUUGAUUGGUUUUGGUCAUGAGAAUAAGAUUAAAAGGGACAGUUGGGGGUAUUCAUAUUCAAUAGUCAGAGGUGAAAUUCUCGGAUUUAUGGAAGAUGA